This 990-nucleotide long non-coding RNA is filed under the name Durio zibethinus. Its description in RNAcentral is "long non-coding RNA (DZIB_LNC000481)". The record is from RNAcentral. Lineage: Eukaryota; Viridiplantae; Streptophyta; Magnoliopsida; Malvales; Malvaceae.
GUAAUAACAAUAAACUAAAUAGAAAGAUAAGAACAUUGGAGGACUAAAGGCCUAACUUUAAUCAGCAAUCAAUUAAACGAUCUUGAAUCUGAAAUAUCAGAUAAACUAACUAAAGGUCUAAGUUUAAUCUGCAAUCAAUAAAACGAUCUGGAUUCUGAAAUUUCAGAUAAACUAUCAUUUUUUUGUGGUGAUUGCGCCUUCCUUGUUAAAUUCUGAUUAUCCAGGAAUUAUAGAACCAAAAUCACAAAUCCAAAGCACACUAAUCAUUGCUUAUUUCAUGCAAAAUGCACAAAGAAAAUGUUUGACACGAAAAGGAAAAAAACAGAGAAAAAGUAAUACAAAGAUUACCAAAACAAAAAACUAGCUCCUGGCCAUGCUGCAGAAAUACUUCAUAACUUUUUCUUAAUGAUCUAAUCACAUAACGCAAAGAGAAGUGAAAGUGCCAAAGGAUUGAAGUUGCCCUGUGGGAGAAACCAGCCCUUCAGUGAAAUCUGAUUGCAAUUCAAAAACCCAGUUUCUUCCAUCACACGAAGUGAAGAAAUAAGAGAUCUUCAACUGAAAGUGCAUGCCAAAGGGUUAUAGUUGCCCUGUGGGGGAAAGGCCCCUCGAGGAGGUAGAAUUCAACCAACCCCAUUUCCCCCAGCAUAUUAAAUUCAUACCUUCGAUAUUACUCUGCCAACUCCCACCAUGCUGAAAAGACCCACUAAACCCUUGCUGUUGCCACGUUUGUUGGGUUCUGGCAUGGUGGGGGUGGCACCCUGACUAAGUGAAAUGACUAGGAAUCCUGAAAUAGCUCGUAAGUUAUAAUCCUGUAUGGCUUCUAGCUUGCUGAGGAUGAUAUAUGUGAGGACAGCUUUAUAAAAGAUAGAAACAAUGUGAUUGUUUUAAUUGUGGGUUUCUUCUCCAUGUGGUUCACCAAGUGAAAUAACAGAAUCUUCCAAGGGAUAUGCGGCGACCAACUUGCUCCACAUUCGGUGACCACAACUUUAG